GUUCCGGGCCACCCAAUGGGUGCAGCGGCCCUCCGAAGGUCCCGCCCACCGGGCCGUCUCCUCAGGACUGGCCUCGGCUCUGCCGCGCUCUCCGCUCUGAGGCCGGCAGCACGCGGCGUGCCGUGCGCUUUGGUCUGCGGCAGGCUUUCUGUACCUCCUGUACGGAAAGGUUGUGUACCUGAGGAGUCCAUGUCAGCACUCUCAAACAGGACUAACUGUGCACUGCAGACAAGAUGGCACACCUGAGAAAACUUCUACUAUCCCUACGUUUUGCUCUUCUACAGGCAGCCAUUAGGCACGUGCAUGGCUUGUGGAGCUGUACAGCAAAUGCUGAUGUCUAUAGAAGAAUAAGAUGGACUUUCCAUCAGUCGCAGAAAGGAUUCAUACAGCUUUCAAAUACAUCGUUUAAAAUAAUCACAGUAGAUACUAAAGAAGGAAAUAAGAUAAGCCUACAUGUCAGCCUGUGAUUCACAUUGCCCUUUGAAGUUUUGCUUGUAGAUUCUUGUCUUUUUCUUAGAGCAAACUACUCAAGUUCACGUCCUGCUUUCUUCUUAGAGAUGUAAAUUCAGUUCAUUUUAAAGUAGAACUCAAACCAGGCCAUCUAGUGCUGUGGGUGUCCUUCAGUUUGCUUCAGUCUUUUGUCAGAGUUUCUAAAAAGGCAAAAGAUAGGUAGGGUUAGUUUGAAAAUCUUCGUAUUUUUUCUGAAAAUCCUGUUUUGCCAAUCUGUCCAGAAGUGCCUCAAGCACCCAAAUGAAGAAAGAUAAAGCUUUCAGGCAGUAAUGUUCUUCUGGGGCAUGCAUGCAUAAAAUUGUCUUAUUUGUGUAAUGGCCAUAGAAAGGGCCCCACAAAAGGAAUUCGGAGUGCAGAGAGAAGUGCUUAGGGCAAUCCUAGGGAUCCUGAAAAGCUGGGUGAAAGAAGAAGCCUGAGGUGACUGGAAUGCAUAAUAGAGUUUUGAAGCCUGACAAAACCCUUAAAAGAUUUGGAAAGGACAGCUUAAUAUAGUUGAGUGCAAAUAAAGAAUGAAGGGCAGUAAAGGUAAAAACAAAACUAAAAAACAAAACAAAAAGAAGCAACCAGUUGGUGGUGAGAGUUAGUACUCAGAACGUUAUUAGUGAGUCAUCUAGAAUGCUCUUAUUUACUCUGCUGUCAUUCUGUGAAGUUAAACUAGUGUUUUCUGAACAUCAGGCACUUCACUUGCUCUCUUAGUGGCAGCUUAGCUACUUAGCCCAGUCAUUUCUGAAAUGCUGUUCUGACUGUUUCACAUGACAAAUGUGAAAUGUGGCUUUUGUUUUUUGUUUGAGUUUCUGCAUUUAUGUCUUGUUUGAAAUUACCUUUAGCAUCCCCUUCAAGAAUGUCCUGUAGCAUCUUCUCCAAUGCUUGUCCAUAUUCUUGAUAUUCUUUUUCUGUUAUCUUGACACCAAUUUCAAAAGGAACGUUGAACUAUAAAAACAUUAAAGGAGUUUAACAGAUGAUCUUUGGACAAGGCACUAUAGGUUAAUUCUGCGUUAGGCGUGACAACAAGCAAGAGGUGGCAAAAUGAUGUGCAUUCGUUUAAUAGUGCUGAGACAUGUAAAGAUCAUCUGAUAAGCGCAGUACAGGGCUGCUGCAGACCGAACCGCCUGAUAAAGCGGAGGAGAGGAAACUGCAGGGAACUUGCAUUGUUAAUGUUAGUUCUGAAAUGCAAGUCCUUAACAGGAGAUCACCAUCUGCCUUUGUGCAGAUGCUUUUGAAUUACUUCAUGCUGUCAAUGCUGGCAGUUUUCAUGUGUCUUUUUCUACAUGCCCUUCAAGUUAAAUGACUAUGGCUUUCAUUGGUACAUCUCCUGUGGCAGGAAUUGUAUUCCUGCUCCAACAAAAUCAUUUGAACUUGUAUGUGAGCAGGAAUGAAAAAUACACACCUUGAUAUCAACACUGUUAUUGUCAUCUUCUCCCUCUGCUUUAUCUGUAUCCCAAAAGCUGUCUGUGCCUCGGCGAUGUAAUCUUGCUGUUGGUUUUCUUGUAUCCUUUUGUUGCUAGAAAGCAAGCAAAAUAGCACCUGUACAAAACUCCCAUAAUCAAAUUGGUCUGUAGCAGGGAAAAUAGAAUUCACAAUUAACGCAGAUGCAGCAAAUUAAUUAGAGCCUUCAUUGGCUUCUUUUAAAGUUAUGAUCAGUUGAAGCUAUCAGUGCCUUCUUUUAAAGUUGUGUGGAUGUGUAGGUAUACAAUAACUUACUGCUAUUCUGCAUCCACUUUGUCAGCAGUUUGUUUAAGGGUUCCUUAUGGAUCAGCCACCUUCCAAUUCAUUUUCAAAGUGUAGUCACCAAUUUAUUUAAACAGCUGCAUUUGUUUGUGGGUUUUUUUGUUCAGUUGGUUGGUUUGUUUCUAAGGUUAGUAGUUAUGUUUGCUCAUGUGAAUGGUUUGUUACAGUAAUCCUCUGGAAUCCCUCCUUCCUCUUCCAGAAACAUUAUCUUCCAAACCUCUGAACACUGUAAAGAAUUUGGCUUUAAGGAAUUAUAGAGGAAGACAAUUUCAAAAAAGCAUUAUUCUGAAUUUUUACCUGUAUGUUUUUAUAUGCGGGGCUUAAAAAACUAGAGCCAGCCAGAGCAGUCUCUGUCCCGAGGAUGCUGAGAAGGAGAAUUCCUAGCAGAACAACUCUGAGGAACAUGAUGGUCUUCACGAGGUGGUGCUUUAUUUCUCCUGAUUUGAAUGUUGUGCAAUUGUUUCUAAAAACGGAUAUAGAAAGAAGGCACACUUGUUGCAUGCAAAAAGGCAAUAUAUUCUGUCAAAAGAGAGCAUUACUUACCGCGUUCUCUUCUGUAACUGAGAUGUAAUAACUGGAGCAGACAGGUUAGCAGAGAGAAAUUAUGGAGGAAAACUGGCGAAAGCUUAGAAAUGCUCUGAAACUGUGCCGGUUCCCUUUGCUGCUUCACCAAACUGCUGCUUUCUGAAGCACCUUAUAUAGGAAGCGGGCUAUUUGUUCUGUGCCGUGCUAUUUCUGGAAAUGCAGCCUGACGUGUGUUCAAAUCCCUUGGAAACACGGGGUGCCUGCAAGACAGCGGCCGACAAAACCGUGAAAACGGCACACAUCUGUUGCUGAGUUCCUUUCUGUGUGUAAUGAAGUUGUGCAGGGAAUUGUGUGCUUCUCAUCUCCUUUUUCUGCCGUGGCGUUAUCCUCGUUCCUUCUAAAACCAGUAGCUGUAAUGGCCAUUUGUUGGAAAGUCCUGAGCCCUUUUACUGUUAUCUGGGGCAGCAUAGCAGAAAAGAAGCAGAACUGCAUUCCUGGCCUGCAGUAACAGCCACAUCUCUUGUUUUUGCCCCAAGUGUGCUUCCUCUCAUCUACAUUCUCUUCUGGGUUCUAUCAGAUUUCGUUGUCCUUUGUAGAAGGACUGAAAGCAAAGAUGUUUCCUAGAAACAUCAUUUCUGUUACUUUGAAAAUGAAACACUGCACUUUGAAGAUGUCACUGAAUAGCUGUAGCAAUGUCUGAGGCUCUGAAAACACCCCAUGAGGAUUUUCUUCAAACCUAAGGAACAGUAGGAAUGAAGUAGGAGCACACUGUAAAGGAUGACAAACUUACACCUUCUGUUGCCUGUGUUCUAACUAGACUUGAAUGAUGUGGCUGAUCUGUGGGAUUUAUUCCAUGCUACAGAUCACAAACCUUCAGUGGUAGGAUGGAGGAAGGCACGGGAAAUGUGUGAGAUGGGAAGAUGAGAAGGAAUUUUAAUUGAGUCAGAUUUGCUGUUGGAAAAACGUAACUCAGAGCAUCACUACACGGAGCACCCAUCCUAACUGCUCUGCCAGGGAAGACAGCCUCUUUAGCACAUCUGCAGGUUUUGAGACGAUUUUUUUUCUGGGGAUGCAGUUCCACGUUGUUCUCUUUCGCAGAUUCCCUGUUUCAUGUUACUGCUUCCUACCUGAUUAUUUCAAACCGGAUUUGUGGAGUGAUCCAAUUAUUAAAAGAAAAUCAUUUCUGAAACAUGUCUGUGGUAUCAGCUGGCUUGGUAGCACCAAGAAAGCUGGUUAGCUGCCGUAGGGCAGCUGAGAACAAACAGAGGCAAUGGAUGAAAGUUAGGUUCUGCAACAAAGUUAGGUUAAAAAGUUCUUGUAGAGUUAGAUCUCCAUAUUGACUUUUGUCUGAGAGCCUGCUGGCAGAGAACACGAAGGAGCACAAAGGAAGUAGGCACUGAUGAACCACUGGAGAGCUUCUGGCUCCUAACAGAAUUAUUCUAACAGAAGCCCCUUGCAUUUUCAUGGCAUACUCUGGAUUCUGGGCAGACUGGGCAUUCGUGAGCUCUUACAAAGCCAUACACAAAUAUCACACAUGAGAGCCA
This is a long non-coding RNA of Tympanuchus pallidicinctus (lesser prairie-chicken), 4307 nucleotides long. RefSeq lists it as uncharacterized. NCBI's taxonomy places the organism in Eukaryota, Metazoa, Chordata, Aves, Galliformes, Phasianidae. The record is from RefSeq and is a predicted model, not a curated record. The transcript has 3 exons.